This 940-nucleotide ribosomal RNA is filed under the name Psilocybe subviscida var. velata. Its description in RNAcentral is "LSU rRNA". It matches the Rfam family "Eukaryotic large subunit ribosomal RNA", at positions 38 to 963 of the family's 3401-position model. The record is from RNAcentral. Lineage: Eukaryota; Fungi; Basidiomycota; Agaricomycetes; Agaricales; Agrocybaceae.
GCAUAUCAAUAAGCGGAGGAAAAGAAACUAACAAGGAUUCCCCUAGUAACUGCGAGUGAAGCGGGAAAAGCUCAAAUUUAAAAUCUGGCAGUCUUUGAUUGUCCGAGUUGUAAUCUAGAGAAGUGUUAUCCGCGUUGGACCGUGUACAAGUCUCCUGGAAUGGAGCGUCAUAGAGGGUGAGAAUCCCGUCUUUGACACGGACUACCAGUGCUUUGUGAUGCGCUCUCAAAGAGUCGAGUUGUUUGGGAAUGCAGCUCAAAAUGGGUGGUAAAUUCCAUCUAAAGCUAAAUAUUGGCGAGAGACCGAUAGCGAACAAGUACCGUGAGGGAAAGAUGAAAAGAACUUUGGAAAGAGAGUUAAACAGUACGUGAAAUUGCUGAAAGGGAAACGCUUGAAGUCAGUCGCGUUGUCCGGGGAUCAACCUUGCUUUUGCUGGGUGUACUUUCCGGUUGACGGGUCAGCAUCAAUUUUGACCGUUGGAUAAAGUGUAGGGGAAUGUGGCAUCUUCGGAUGUGUUAUAGCCUCUGCUCGCAUACAACGGUUGGGAUUGAGGAACUCAGUACGCCGCAAGGCCGGGAAUUUAUUCCACGUUCGUACUUAGGAUGCUGGCAUAAUGGCUUUAAUCGACCCGUCUUGAAACACGGACCAAGGAGUCUAACAUGCCUGCGAGUGUUUGGGUGGAAAACCCGAGCGCGUAAUGAAAGUGAAAGUUGAGAUCCCUGUCGUGGGGAGCAUCGACGCCCGGACCAGACCUUUUGUGACGGAUCUGCGGUAGAGCAUGUAUGUUGGGACCCGAAAGAUGGUGAACUAUGCCUGAAUAGGGUGAAGCCAGAGGAAACUCUGGUGGAGGCUCGUAGCGAUUCUGACGUGCAAAUCGAUCGUCAAAUUUGGGUAUAGGGGCGAAAGACUAAUCGAACCAUCUAGUAGCUGGUUCCUGCGA